AUUGAACGCUGGCGGCAUGCCUUACACAUGCAAGUCGAACGGCAGCACGGGUGCUUGCACCUGGUGGCGAGUGGCGAACGGGUGAGUAAUACAUCGGAACAUGUCCUGUAGUGGGGGAUAGCCCGGCGAAAGCCGGAUUAAUACCGCAUACGAUCUACGGAUGAAAGCGGGGGACCUUCGGGCCUCGCGCUAUAGGGUUGGCCGAUGGCUGAUUAGCUAGUUGGUGGGGUAAAGGCCUACCAAGGCGACGAUCAGUAGCUGGUCUGAGAGGACGACCAGCCACACUGGGAGUGAGACACGGCCCAGACUCCUACGGGAGGCAGCAGUGGGGAAUUUUGGACAAAGGGCGAAAGCCUGAUCCAGCAAUGCCGCGUGUGUGAAGAAGGCCUUCGGGUUGUAAAGCACUUUUGUCCGGAAAGAAAUCCUUGGCCCUAAUACGGUCGGGGGAUGACGGUACCGGAAGAAUAAGCACCGGCUAACUACGUG
Molecule: ribosomal RNA, 486 nt
Filed under: uncultured bacterium
Lineage: Bacteria
Description: partial 16S ribosomal RNA
Rfam family: Bacterial small subunit ribosomal RNA
Source: RNAcentral